Molecule: long non-coding RNA, 828 nt
Filed under: Triticum aestivum (bread wheat)
Lineage: Eukaryota; Viridiplantae; Streptophyta; Magnoliopsida; Poales; Poaceae
Description: long non-coding RNA (TAES_LNC012379)
Source: RNAcentral
AGUUCAUUGGGACAAGACUGACAUUGUUGUAAUGAAGGAGGUUCGCGUAUGCAGUCCGUACCUGCCUGAAAAUGUCAGCGGCGGAACAUCAGCUGCUAAUGAACGGGUUAAGAAAGUGGUAAUGCACCUGUACUUGUAGAUCAAUGUUUACACUUUUAAACGUCUGAACCAGGAAAAUGACUAAUCGUUGUUUUCUUUUGGUGUGUGUUUUAUUUGGUGCAGCUGGACUUUGAGAGGAAAAGACAACAUGUGCGUGUACCUGGCCAAUUCUAACUUAUUCGACUUGACAAAUUUUCACCUCAACUCCUGCUGUGAUAUGUUUCUAAAUCCGACCUUAUUUGUCCAGUUUCAUCAGUUGAAUUUUCUAAGAAUCUGUUUCAGCAUGCUGUUCUCACAAACUACCACACUAGCAAGCUUAUUGAUAUUCUGCUAUUAGAUGCCGUAUGUGGUGGUGAAUAAUUGCAGCACACUGCUGAUAAUUCUGUGGCUGAUAGUGAAAGGUUGUGUGGCUGAAGCAAACUAAGGAAAGAAAAUAGAUUGGUGGCACUGAAAGAAUAGGAAGUUGUAUAACAACUAAGAAAAGAGGCGGAGCAAAGGCAAAACUGAAAAUUAGUCUCUCAGACUUUGUAUUACUCUUCCUGGUGGAAUAAUAUUUCCAGCUUGUGCUGUUGUAUUCUUUUGCUUCCCUUGCAAUCCAUGGUACUGGACAUGUAAGGCGAAAUCGUGUAGCUUUAUUGGUGAGAUGAUAUCACGGCAUGGUUCCGUUCAUGUUUUGCGAUUGAAUGCACAAAGAAUUGUUUGUACCCCAGUUAAUGGCCGGGACUCUAU